RNAcentral lists this ribosomal RNA (259 nucleotides) under uncultured prokaryote. RNAcentral's name for it is "partial 16S ribosomal RNA". It matches the Rfam family "Bacterial small subunit ribosomal RNA", at positions 524 to 782 of the family's 1533-position model. The record is from RNAcentral.
UACGUAGGGGACGAGCGUUGUCCGGAAUUACUGGGCGUAAAGGGCGCGCAGGCUGUAGAUCAAGUCAGCUGUGAAAUGUCUGGGCUUAACCCGGGCAUGCGGUUGAAACUGAUGUACUGGAGUGCUGUAGAGGCAAGUGGAAUUCCCAGUGUAGCGGUGAAAUGCGUAGAUAUUGGAAAGAACACCGGUGGCGAAGGCGACUUGCUGGGCAGCAACUGACGCUGAGGCGCGAAAGCCAGGGGAGCAAACGGGGAUUAGA